CUAGAUUAGCCAUGCAUGUCUAAGUAUAAGCAAUUAUACAGCGAAACUGCGAAUGGCUCAUUAAAUCAGUUAUCGUUUAUUUGAUAGUACCUUACUACAUGGAUAACCGUGGUAAUUCUAGAGCUAAUACAUGCUGAAAACCCCGACUCCGGAAGGGGUGUAUUUAUUAGAUUAAAAACCAAUGCCCUCCGGGGCUUACUGGUGAUUCAUGAUAACUUCUCGAAUCGCACGGCCUUGCGCCGGCGAUGGUUCAUUCAAAUUUCUGCCCUAUCAACUUUCGACGGCUGGGUCUUGGCCAGCCGUGGUGACAACGGGUAACGGAGGGUUAGGGCUCGACCCCGGAGAAAACGCCUGAGAAACGGCGUUUACAUCCAAGGAAGGCAGCAGGCGCGCAAAUUACCCAAUGCCGACACGGCGAGGUAGUGACGAGAAAUACUGAUACAGGGCUCUUUUGGGUCUUGUAAUUGGAAUGAGUACAAUUUAAAUCCCUUAACGAGGAACAAUUGGAGGGCAAGUCUGGUGCCAGCAGCCGCGGUAAUUCCAGCUCCAAUAGCGUAUAUUAAAGUUGUUGCAGUUAAAAAGCUCGUAGUUGAACCUUGGGCCUGGCUGGCCGGUCCGCCUCACCGCGUGCACUGGUCCGGCCGGGCCUUUCCCUCUGGGGAACCCCAUGCCCUUCACUGGGCGUGGCGGGGAACCAGGACUUUUACUUUGAAAAAAUUAGAGUGUUCAAAGCAGCCUAUGCUCGAAUACAUUAGCAUGGAAAUAAUAGAAUAGGACGUGCGGUUCUAUUUUGUUGGUUUCUAGGACCGCCGUAAUGAUUAAUAGGGACAGUCGGGGGCGUCAGUAUUCAAUUGUCAGAGGUGAAAUUCUUGGAUUUAUUGAAGACUAACUACUGCGAAAGCAUUCGCCA
This 910-nucleotide ribosomal RNA is filed under the name Pseudophialophora dichanthii. RNAcentral's name for it is "SSU rRNA". It matches the Rfam family "Eukaryotic small subunit ribosomal RNA", at positions 39 to 960 of the family's 1831-position model. The record is from RNAcentral. Lineage: Eukaryota; Fungi; Ascomycota; Sordariomycetes; Magnaporthales; Magnaporthaceae.